UGUCAGAAGCAAAAACUUUUUAUGCAUUGCACAUCUCAGCAAAACAUUAACCUUUUUAUUAUACUUCAUCAUUUUUUUUUAUCUCAGAACAUAAUCCUGUCCGAAUGCAGCAUCAUCUUUGUCAAAGUCCAGGAAGUGAGAGCAGCACUAGCACUCCUCUGUGCUCACUCCUGUCUUGUCUAUUAGACUGUAGCAUGAAAACAGAGAGGAGGGGGUUACAGAGCAGCCUGCAGUGAUUGGAUGAAGACACCCAGCACAGCACAGCAGAUUCAGGGAGGAAGUGAAUGCAUGCAAUAAGUGAUACUAGAGAUGUAUGACAGCUUCUCAUCUCCUCCUGCUCUAUGGAUGUAAAGGGGGAUUGUGGAUGAUACAGGCCAGCUAUGGGACUGUUUGCCAGUAAAUAUAUAAAUAUCACCAGUGUCACCAGUAACCAAAAACUGCAGGAUUUCUAGUGACAUGCAUGCCACAAGGGCUGAGAAUACAGAGGUGUGUGCAACCAUAUUCAAUCAGACAGAGCAGGAGGCUGGGGGCUGCUUUCAGAGAGUGAGCUGGCUGGCAGAGCAGAGCUGCAAUGCUUGCUGGGAGAUGUACUCAAGGAUGGCAAAGAAUAUCAAGCAGAGAAGACAACAGGGGCCACAGGAGCCACGCAUAUCAGGUAGGAUCAUUUUUUACAGGGAACAUAAUUAGGUGGUGUGAUAGCUUUGGUGAGGCUUAUAUAUCCCCAGAGUAUCCCUUUAAU
This is a long non-coding RNA of Hyla sarda, 739 nucleotides long. RefSeq lists it as uncharacterized. The transcript is spliced from 3 exons. The record is from RefSeq and is a predicted model, not a curated record. Lineage: Eukaryota; Metazoa; Chordata; Amphibia; Anura; Hylidae.